CACUGACUCAAAAACCACUCCAAGCAGGAAAGCAAGUCGAAAGGAGAACAAAGUGAUUGCUCCAACAAAGAAAUCAGCUGGAAAAGAGAGUACUAAGCAAGGUCCCCGUAAGUCCAAGCCUUCGGAUACUAAAGGCCACUCUUCAUCUGAACCUCCUCAGAAGGAAAAAGAUAGCAACACUGGAGUAAACUCAAUGUUAAACGAACGUGGAGCAGAACUGAGUCCACAAGUAUCUAGUGAAGUCGUUGAUGCUAAGAACACGGAGGAGGUACGUAGCAUAUCAUUAAUCGAGAAG
RNAcentral lists this unclassified non-coding RNA (295 nucleotides) under Hevea brasiliensis (rubber tree). The record is from RNAcentral. Lineage: Eukaryota; Viridiplantae; Streptophyta; Magnoliopsida; Malpighiales; Euphorbiaceae.